AAAGAUGGUUGACCAUAGGACAUGCGCUAGCUCGGUGUCGUAUGUAAUAUGGUCCACGUCUUCU
This is a non-coding RNA of Heterocephalus glaber (naked mole-rat), 64 nucleotides long. NCBI's taxonomy places the organism in Eukaryota, Metazoa, Chordata, Mammalia, Rodentia, Bathyergidae. The record is from Rfam.